AGCGCAGGCGGGAAACUAAGCGGAUCUUAAAAAGUGCGGGGCUCAACCCCGUGAUGGGGUCCGAACUGGUUUUCUUGAGUGCAGGAGAGGAAAGCGGAAUUCCCAGUGUAGCGGUGAAAUGCGUAGAUAUUGGGAAGAACACCAGUGGCGGAGGGCGGCUUUCUGGACUGUAACUGACGCUGAGGCUCGAAAGCUAGGGUAGCGAAG
RNAcentral lists this ribosomal RNA (207 nucleotides) under uncultured bacterium. RNAcentral describes it as "partial 16S ribosomal RNA". It matches the Rfam family "Bacterial small subunit ribosomal RNA", at positions 568 to 773 of the family's 1533-position model. The record is from RNAcentral.